Molecule: transfer RNA, 96 nt
Filed under: Betaproteobacteria bacterium
Lineage: Bacteria; Pseudomonadati; Pseudomonadota; Betaproteobacteria
Description: tRNA-Sec
Rfam family: Selenocysteine transfer RNA
Source: RNAcentral
GGAAGAGACUCGCACCCCGGUAGGGCGCACGGACUUCAAAUCCUGUGAGAAGCGUCGGACGUCUCUGGUGGGUUCGACUCCCACUCUUUUCCGCCA